This 87-nucleotide unclassified non-coding RNA is filed under the name Pseudomonas extremaustralis. Lineage: Bacteria; Pseudomonadati; Pseudomonadota; Gammaproteobacteria; Pseudomonadales; Pseudomonadaceae. The record is from RNAcentral.
GUGGGAGGGGGCUUGCUCCCGAUGACGGUGGGUCAGCCAAUACAUGCUUGACCGAAGCACCGCUAUCGGGAGCAAGCCCCCUCCCAC